Long non-coding RNA from Pan paniscus (pygmy chimpanzee), 826 nucleotides. The record is from Ensembl. Lineage: Eukaryota; Metazoa; Chordata; Mammalia; Primates; Hominidae.
AUGCCUCGGGUACGUCCUGUUCCCAGCUCCUUCUCCAGCACCCGCAGCCCCUCGGCUGACAUUUCAGAAACACAGCCCAAGCUGAAAUGGGCAGCCUGCCCAUGGAAGAGAUGGGGCAGAGGGAGACUGUGGCCUGUUCACACAGUUUGGUGGAAAGUGAAGACUGAAGGGGCUUGGGAUUCUGAGAGUUGGAAGAGGCCAACUUUUCCCACCUGCAGUUUGAAGAUUAAGGACUUAGAGAUUUGUUGAGAGGCUGCUUCCGAGAGGUUACUGAUACACUGAGGACAGGAACUACUGACUACUCUGAAUGAGGAAAAAAACAUCCAGUUUGGGGUGAUCCUGUUUUGCAAUGGCAGCUGUCAGCCAUAACAUGGUGGGAAAUAACGGUAAAUAAACCUCCUGUGAUUGGCAAGAAUAUAAAAAAAAAUCGUGAAUUGUGAAUUCUUAGGUCUACUUGAGAGAAGACAUAUUUAGAAAAACAUCAAAUCAUUAAACAACCUGCUUUUGAAUAAAAUCUAAAUGAACCAAACUCUUUAGCAAAUGUCCAUUUUGAAAAUUUAGCUUUUUGGUUAACUGUAUAAGUUAUAUUAGCUUCCUAUUCUGCUGUCACAAAUCACCACAAAGUGAGUGCCUUAAAAGAACACGAAUUUACUAUCUUAUAGUCUGAAGGUCAGAAGUCCAGAAUGGAUCUUACAGGGCUAAAAUCAAGGUGCUAGCAGGGCUGGUUUCUUCCGGAAACUCUAGAAGAUAAUCUGUUUCGUGCUUUGUCACACUUCCAAAGGCUACUGGCCUUGGUUUGUGGCCCCACCACGCCCACCUUUGCUUC